Molecule: long non-coding RNA, 305 nt
Filed under: Pandoravirus salinus
Description: putative ncRNA
Source: RNAcentral
CCAGCGCGGCGCCCGCCGCCAGGGCGUCCAGCAUCCGGAGCCGCCGAGCGUCGAGGGGCCCUGCGCCUUCUUGGAGGCGCUGACAGGCCCCAAAGACGUCCGACGCCACACGCGAGAGCAGCCGCAUCCGGUCGGGCGCACGCGGCGCCGUCUCUUGGCUCGUCAUCAACGCCCGCCGUAUCUCUUUUUUUCCAAUCCCUCUCUCUCUCUCUGUGUGUGACCUGGCCUUGUUUUCGUUGGAGGCUGAUGGGGAUCAGGCGAUUGGCGGAAAAAAGUGGAAAAGCAAGAGAGAAUGAAAAAAUGUG